CUCUCACCAAGCAAGUGCAGUGGGGCUUGCUGGCUUGCACCGUGACUCACUCUCACCAAGCAAGUGCAGUGGGGCUUGCUGGCUUGCACUGUGAAGAU
Gorilla gorilla gorilla (western lowland gorilla) is the source of this 98-nucleotide microRNA precursor. NCBI's taxonomy places the organism in Eukaryota, Metazoa, Chordata, Mammalia, Primates, Hominidae. The record is from Ensembl.